This 215-nucleotide ribosomal RNA is filed under the name Glomeromycotina sp. Its description in RNAcentral is "partial small subunit ribosomal RNA". The stretch from base 39 to 215 matches the Rfam family "Eukaryotic small subunit ribosomal RNA", at positions 686 to 864 of the family's 1831-position model. Lineage: Eukaryota; Fungi; Glomeromycota. The record is from RNAcentral.
GGUCAGUAGGUUGGUCGUGCCACCGGUACGUUCUGGUCUCACUGAUUCCUCCUUCUUGAAGAACCGUAAUGCCAUUAAUUUGGUGUUGCGGGGAAACAGGACUGUUACUUUGAAAAAAUUAGAGUGUUUAAAGCAAGCUAACGCUUGAAUACAUUAGCAUGGAAUAAUGAAAUAGGACGAUCGAUCCUAUUUUGUUGGUUUCUAGGAUUGACGUA